AAUGGGGGAAACCCUGACGCAGCAACGCCGCGUGUGGGAAGAAGGCCUUCGGGUCGUAAACACUUUGCACGGGACGAAAAAGGGAUAUCGAACAAAUAUCCCCGAUGACGGUACCGUGAGAAUAAGCCACGGCUAACUCUGUGCCAGCAGCCGCGGUAAGACAGAGGUGGCAAGCGUUGUUCGGAAUUACUGGGCGUAAAGAGUCUGUAGGUGGUUUGUCAAGUCUUUGGUGAAAGGCCGUAGCUUAACUAUGGGAAUGCCAAAGAGACUGGCAGGCUGGAGGCUGGGAGAGGGAAGCGGAAUUUCUGGUGUAGCGGUGAAAUGCGUAGAUAUCAGAAGGAAGGCCGGUGGCGAAGGCGGCUUCCUGGAACAGUCCUGACACUGAGAGACGAAAGCGUGGGGAGCAAACAGGAUUAGAUACCCUGGUAGUCCACGCCCUAAACGAUGGGUACUAAGUGUGGAGGGGUUAAACCCUCCGUGCCGCAGCAAACGCAGUAAGUAC
RNAcentral lists this ribosomal RNA (502 nucleotides) under uncultured bacterium. RNAcentral describes it as "bacterial SSU rRNA". It matches the Rfam family "Bacterial small subunit ribosomal RNA", at positions 370 to 867 of the family's 1533-position model. The record is from RNAcentral.